AGAGUUUGAUCCUGGCUCAGGAUGAACGCUGGCGGCGAGCCUAAUACAUGCAAGUCGAGCGAACCACUUCGGUGGUGAGCGGCGAACGGGUGAGUAACACGUAGGUGAUCUGCCCAUCAGACGGGGACAACGAUUGGAAACGAUCGCUAAUACCGGAUAGGACGAAAGUUUAAAGGUGCUUCUGGCACCGCUGAUGGAUGAGCCUGCGGCGCAUUAGCUAGUUGGUAGGGUAAAGGCCUACCAAGGCGACGAUGCGUAGCCGACCUGAGAGGGUGAACGGCCACACUGGGACUGAGACACGGCCCAGACUCCUACGGGAGGCAGCAGUAGGGAAUCUUCGGCAAUGGGCGAAAGCCUGACCGAGCAACGCCGCGUGAAUGAUGAAGGCCUUCGGGUUGUAAAAUUCUGUUAUAAGGGAAGAACGACUUUAGUAGGAAAUGGCUAGAGUGUGACGGUACCUUACGAGAAAGCCACGGCUAACUACGUG
Molecule: ribosomal RNA, 487 nt
Filed under: uncultured bacterium
Lineage: Bacteria
Description: bacterial SSU rRNA
Rfam family: Bacterial small subunit ribosomal RNA
Source: RNAcentral